UACAUAGGUGGCAAGCGUUGUCCGGAAUGACUGGGCGUAAAGGGAGCGUAGGCGGUCUGUUAAGUUGGAAGUGAAAUCCCGGGGCUCAACCCCGGAGCUGCUUUCAAGACUGACGGACUUGAGUGUAAGAGGGGUAAGCGGAAUUCCUAGUGUAGCGGUGGAAUGCGUAGAUAUUAGGAGGAACACCAGUGGCGAAGGCGGCUUACUGGAUUAUAACUGACGCUGAGGCUCGAAAGCGUGGGUAGCAAACAGG
RNAcentral lists this ribosomal RNA (253 nucleotides) under uncultured bacterium. Its description in RNAcentral is "partial 16S ribosomal RNA". It matches the Rfam family "Bacterial small subunit ribosomal RNA", at positions 524 to 776 of the family's 1533-position model. The record is from RNAcentral.